Perca fluviatilis (European perch) is the source of this 1922-nucleotide RNA transcript. It is a transcript of the gene named sodium channel, voltage-gated, type II, beta, with no coding region annotated. The transcript is spliced from 6 exons. The record is from RefSeq and is a predicted model, not a curated record. NCBI's taxonomy places the organism in Eukaryota, Metazoa, Chordata, Actinopteri, Perciformes, Percidae.
AGAACCGACAACCAUGAGAUCGACCGUCAUAAGGCUACAGACACUGCCAGCCAUGUCCUGCCUCUUAAACAAAACAAAAAAAUACAGUUUUUAGCAUUUUAACGCACACACCAAGAGCAGACUUGUUGCUCUUUUUUUCUAGAGAUUAAAGCGUCAUUUUUUAAAUAAUAAGGACAAAAAAAUGUCUUCCCGCACGCAGGAGAGGAGGUCUGGCGUUCAGCUGGUGAGCGCGGCGCUGCUGCUGCUCUCGCUCUCCGGUUGUUCAAGCAUGGAUGUGCUCAUGCCAAAUAGCAUUAAUGCACUGAAUGGAACAACUGUCAAAAUCCCCUGCACAUUUACUUCCUGCUAUAAGAUGGAUGUUAGCAGGUUUGCCAUGAACUGGACCUACCAAGAAUCACUUAAUGAUACAGAAGACAUGUUUAUGACAUUCCAUAAGAAGAGAGGAAUGGUGCCCCUGCCUUCAGACCGGUUUGGAGACAGGGUCAUGUUUGCCGGAAACCUGGAUAAGAACGACCUGUCAAUCACCCUAUCAGAUGUUCAGAUCGAGGAUGAGGGGAUUUACAACUGCUAUGUGAGAAACCCCCCAGACCGCAUCCAGGGACAUGGUCUCAUACAGCUCAUUGUUGUUACUGAACUUCCCCCUCCGAGGGAUUCAACCAUCGCAGUUGCGAUUGGGGCAUCAGUGGGUGGAGCAUUAGCUCUGCUGAUCCUUUCCAUGGUUGUAGUGAAAUGUCUUCGUCGACACAGGAAACAGGAACUGAUUUCAGAGGAGAAGAUGGAGGAGGAGGGAAAACUGGAGGCUGAAGGUGUUGCAGAGGAGGGAACCAAACAACCAUAGCUGGGUCAUCUGAUUGAACCAGCGGCGUGUGGAGCUCUCACCCCCAACACCUUGACAUGUGCACCCCCUUCCUGAAGAUCUAUAGUAACUACUGAUUGAAUCAUUGUCCACCGAUACUUCCAUCCUUUCUGCAUGUGUGUGUGUGUUUGUGUGUGUCUGUGUGUGUGGGUGUAUGUGCCAGUGCAGACAAGUGUGCUUCUUUGUGUGUGUGUGUGUGUGUGUGUGUGUGUGUGUGUACUGACUGUGUCAAUGUGUGUGCGUGCGUAUUUCUAUAGGUCUGUGUGAGAUGUGUCUUUUUCCUCCAAAUAAGCCAGUGGACACUUUUCUGCAACUUAACCAUUAAACACAAAUUACUUUAUUCAGUUCCAUUAGAAGUAGAUCACAUAAUAAGGAAUGGCAUUUUCAUCACACACUAUAGGACAGGCUAAGGCUGGGCGGUAUGACCUAAAAUUUAUACCACAGUAUAGUUUAUAUAUAAUAUAAAACGGUAACAGUAUCACAGCAUCACAAUAUCUAAUUGUAUUGCCUGUAGUUAAAUCUAUUAUUAAGGAACUAUAAAUAAUGUUACUAGUGGCUGUGGAGGCAGAGCUGCAUACUUGAUGGAAAUUAAAAGCUGCACAAUGUUGAGUGUAUAUCGGUUAUGUGAUGGUAAAUUGUGCAGUUUGCGCCACAACAGCUUUUUUUGUGGGGGGUGAAAUGUUUUGGUUAAACAUCCAGUGUCUUUUAACAUUCCCUUAAAGCCAUGUCUCUCAACUGCCUGUAUAGGCACAAUGUCUUACCAUUGGGGCACAGUUACCCCCAAUUUCCACCGGUUGUGGAACGGUUGCGGAACGGCUGAGGAACGGCUCCGGUACGGCGGCGAAGUCAUUAGGUUUCCAUUAAAGUCAAUGUGUGUAUUUCCACUGACUGCGGAACGGCUGCGUUCCAAUUGCGUCCCAGCUCCGGCAGCCCUCCAGAGCAGAUACGCGGAGCUUCUAUUUUUGCUGGAUGUCGGAGAGCUCCGCAGCAAUUCAGCACAAUUCAGCUUAUGCGGGACAGAAAGUCGAGCACAGAAACAAAAUAAAACAUCCGGUUAAUUUUCAAA